Molecule: transfer RNA, 69 nt
Filed under: Zhangixalus arboreus (Kinugasa flying frog)
Lineage: Eukaryota; Metazoa; Chordata; Amphibia; Anura; Rhacophoridae
Description: Rhacophorus arboreus (Kinugasa flying frog) tRNA-Val
Rfam family: tRNA
About the family: Transfer RNA (tRNA) molecules are approximately 80 nucleotides in length. Their secondary structure includes four short double-helical elements and three loops (D, anti-codon, and T loops). Further hydrogen bonds mediate the characteristic L-shaped molecular structure. tRNAs have two regions of fundamental functional importance: the anti-codon, which is responsible for specific mRNA codon recognition, and the 3' end, to which the tRNAs corresponding amino acid is attached (by aminoacyl-tRNA synthetases). tRNAs cope with the degeneracy of the genetic code in two manners: having more than one tRNA (with a specific anti-codon) for a particular amino acid; and 'wobble' base-pairing, i.e. permitting non-standard base-pairing at the 3rd anti-codon position.
Source: RNAcentral
CAAAAUGUAGCUUAACUAAAGCCUUUCGCUUACACCGAAAAAAUAUAUGUGAAACCCAGAUCAUUUUGA